RNAcentral lists this ribosomal RNA (253 nucleotides) under uncultured bacterium. RNAcentral describes it as "partial 16S ribosomal RNA". It matches the Rfam family "Bacterial small subunit ribosomal RNA", at positions 524 to 776 of the family's 1533-position model. The record is from RNAcentral.
UACGUAGGUGGCAAGCGUUGUCCGGAAUUAUUGGGCGUAAAGCGCGCGCAGGCGGUCCUUUAAGUCUGAUGUGAAAGCCCACGGCUCAACCGUGGAGGGUCAUUGGAAACUGGGGGACUUGAGUGCAGAAGAGGAGAGUGGAAUUCCACGUGUAGCGGUGAAAUGCGUAGAGAUGUGGAGGAACACCAGUGGCGAAGGCGACUCUCUGGUCUGUAACUGACGCUGAGGCACGAAGGCCAGGGGAGCAAACGGG